CAGGACGAACGUUGGCGGUGCGCUUAAUGCAUGCAAGUCGAGGGAGAACCAUUCGUUUCGUAAGAUCCAGAUGGGGAAACCGGCGAACGGGUGCGUAACACGUGAGGAACCUGCCCCGAAGACCGGGAUAGCCCGGGGAAACCCGGAUUAAUACCGGAUACCCUCAUCGGACCGCAUGGUCUGAUGAGGAAAUGGUCAGCCGCUUCGGGAUGGCCUCGCGGCCUAUCAGCUUGUUGGUGAGGUAACGGCUCACCAAGGCUAAGACGGGUAGCUGGUCUGAGAGGACGAUCAGCCACACUGGGACUGAGACACGGCCCAGACUCCUACGGGAGGCAGCAGCAGGGAAUAUUGCACAAUGGGCGAAAGCCUGAUGCAGCGACACCGCGUGCGGGAUGAAGGCCUUCGGGUUGUAAACCGCUUUCAGGAGCGACGAAAAUGACGGUACCUCCAGAAGAAGGCCCGGCCAACUACGUGCCAGCAGCCGCGGUAACACGUAGGGGCCAAACGUUGUCCGGAUUUAUUGGGCGUAAAGAGCUCGUAGGCGGUUCAGCAAGUCGGCUGUGAAAUUCCGAGGCUCAACCUCGGAACUGCAGUGGAUACUGCUGUGACUCGAGUCCGGUAGAGGAGAAUGGAAUUCCCGGUGUAGCGGUGAAAUGCGCAGAUAUCGGGAGGAACACCAGUAGCGAAGGCGGUUCUCUGGGCCGGCACUGACGCUGAGGAGCGAAAGCGUGGGUAGCAAACAGGAUUAGAUACCCUGGUAGUCCACGCCGUAAACGUUGGAUACUAGGUGUGGCGUCCCGAUUAACGGUCGCCGUGCCGAAGCUAACGCAUUAAGUAUCCCGCCUGGGGAGUACGGCCGCAAGGCUAAAACUCAAAGGAAUUGACGGGUCCCCGCACAAGCGGCGGAGCAUGCGGCUUAAUUCGAUGCAACCCGAAGAACCUUACCUGGGUUUGACAUCACGGGAAAAGCUGUAGAAAUACAGUGUCCAUUAGGGCCCGUGACAGGUGGUGCAUGGCUGUCGUCAGCUCGUGUCGUGAGAUGUUGGGUUAAGUCCCGCAACGAGCGCAACCCUUAUCCUAUGUUGCCAGCGGUUCGGCCGGGGACUCAUAGGAGACUGCCGGGAUAACUCGGAGGAAGGCGGGGAUGACGUCAAGUCAUCAUGCCCCUUAUGUUCAGGGCUGCACGCAUGCUACAAUGGGUGAUACAACGGGCAGCGACC
This 1220-nucleotide ribosomal RNA is filed under the name uncultured prokaryote. RNAcentral describes it as "partial 16S ribosomal RNA". It matches the Rfam family "Bacterial small subunit ribosomal RNA", at positions 25 to 1254 of the family's 1533-position model. The record is from RNAcentral.